RNAcentral lists this long non-coding RNA (1237 nucleotides) under Nicotiana tabacum (common tobacco). RNAcentral's name for it is "long non-coding RNA (NTAB_LNC001480)". Lineage: Eukaryota; Viridiplantae; Streptophyta; Magnoliopsida; Solanales; Solanaceae. The record is from RNAcentral.
CACUAUCAACAAUAGGAAUACUGCCCAAGCUUGAAGAUCUGUACCUUGAAGACGCAAUCAUCGAGGGGGAAGGAUGGAACAUGGGGGAGGAAGACACCUUCCAGAAUCUCAAAUGUCUGACGUUGCAGCGAGUGACUCUUGCUAAUUGGGAGGUUAGAGAGGAAUCCUUUCCUGCGCUUGAGAAAUUACGACUGCGGGACUGUCGUAUGCUUGAGGAGAUUCCGCCUAGUUUCGGGGAUAUUUGUUCAUUAAAAAGUAUCGAACUACGGAGGAGCCCUCAACUUAAAGAAUCUGCUCUGAAGAUUAAGCAAGAUGUUGAAGAUAUGGGUAGGGAUAUUCUGGUCCUUGUUUAUAGCUGAUCGAGUCCUGAGCACUUUUACCUUGGGAAAAUAUGUGAGUAUAGCCGAACUUAUUACCUCCUCAUUUUCAUUUUAUGUGGCAGUGCUUGACCAGUGUAAUUUUCUUUUGCAGAGAGCAUGUAAGGAAUACAUCCUCAGACAUCUAAAUUCUGAUACAUUCUCCCAGCUAUUUCAUUUUUUGUGGGUAAAUAUACACCAGCAUUUGUUGCAGUUAGCUCUACAUGUGUAGAUCAUUUUGCUGCUGCUCUUGCUCUGUCUUCUGUGAAACAACAAACAAGAAGCUCCCACUUUCAUCCCUCCCAAAUCGACUCAACUGCAGCACUAGUUUUAGUGAUUCUAAGCGUCGAUAGCACUCUGUCGCCAAUUUUGGCUGCAAAAGCAAACUCCUGCUGUGAAAAGUUGCAAACUGCUUGUAAACUGUCCAGAAAUCUCUCUCCAAUGUAUGCUCCUUGGGCAUCCAACUUGGGUUGAAACCGUGUUUUCUUUCUUUUUCGUUAUGGCAUCUUUUUUCAUAUUUCCUGUUCCUUUCUUUUUUCAUGGUUGUAACUGUCACCUCCUUCACUGAUGAGCAUACUACUACUCUUGUUCCUCCAUCAAGAAUCUUUCAAGGCCUUCAUCAUUGAUUCUCACAAUUUUAUGCCAAAGUUGAUGCCACAAGCUAUUAAAAAGUAUUGAAUUUUUCCAGGGUAAUGGAGGUGUUGAAGAGCUGUACCUUGUAGUCACAAUCAUCGGGGGAGAAGAAUGGAACAUGGGGGAGGAAGACACCUUCUAGAAACUCAAAUGUUUGACGUUGCAGCCAAUGAGUCUUGCUAAGUGGGAGUUUAGAGAGGAAUCCUUUCAUGUGCUUGAUAUUACAACUGUGGGAAUCUCAUAAGCUU